CAAACUAGUACUUAUAUCAUAUCCAAGGCACAGCCAGGUCAUUAUAGAUGCUAAUCACAGGUUCAGAAGGAAAGUUAUGCGCAUGCUACCCCGCAACAAAUGUCAAAGGAGUCACCACCCCGGCCGUAACGAUCACUGACGUCGCAAUCACUACUGCCCAUCGACAUGCUCGCACCCAACCAUUCUUAUGCUGAAACCAUUUAUUCCUUCUCUUCGAUGGGACGCAUAAUUCGGACUCUGAAACUGUUCCUAUGGCUGGCCAGGCAGGCGGCGCGGGGGAAUCGGAUCCACUCGACGAUGCGUGACAGGUUGAUGUUGCGUUCGGCAGUGUUGGGACAAUCACGACAACGGAGAACGAAUCCGUAGACGCAUCAAAGCUAUCGUAUGUAUUGAGAGCCGAGGAACAGAACCAACCGCCAAUAACCCAAGCCGGCGGUGCCAAAAAUCCCAUAACAAAGAAGAUCAAGGCCUGGUCGAUUCGUCCGAAAAUCGUUUGCCUUUCGGUUCUUCUUGAUUGGGCCCGUUCCAUAUCACCGUCAAGGCUUGCAAUGGGCGCCUCCGGGAUAUUCGGGACUGCUGGGGCAUCUCUGACCUCUGAAACAACAUUAUUGACGUGCACGGAGUUCUGUGUAACUGGAAGGGCCGCGUAGAAGUAUUCGCCGAGCGUUGCUUCCGAAGACGUUGACGACUGGGCCCUUGGCUUAUCAGGCUCGACAGGAGUGGCGACAACUGUAGCAGUGGUUGAGAUCAUCAACUCGAAGAUUGGUGCUGCAAAGUCUCGGGGCUCUGCGUGUGCGAUAUGCUUGCCAAGUUGGUGUCCUUCCAUUUGUGCUUGGAGUGCCUGGGAGUUUGUUUUUGUCGCGAGUGGCGAAGUCGUCUUAAAUUGUAUAAUGGAUACUCGGCUGUCUUUUCCAUCAUCGUGUACUUUUGGCGUUUCGUCUACUUUAGUCAAUAGUCAGCGAGCAGAUUCAUACCAUUUCCAGCAUCGCCCACCUGUUUCCUCUUCGUCAUGUUCAUCCUCUCCUUCCACAGCCAUUAGCAAGCUGGCUCCAAGCUGACUGCCGACCAACGCAACCCACAGCUCCUUCUUAUCCUCCUCUGUCAUCCCAUCUUGCCUCUUCGCGCCCUCCAAAAUGUUUUUGGUCUGCUUAAGCGCCGAGCGCCGGAUCGGAUAUACCGUAUGUGCUUUUGAUUUGGGAGUUGAAGUGGUUGGCCGUGAUGGAGUUUUGAACAAGCUAUCGGCUCCGGGCUCCUGUGGGACGAUCUUGGGUGAUGGGGAGAGCGCGAUAUCAAUUGUGUCAGGAAGAGAUAAGUCGAGUGCAUCUACGGAAGCAGUUGAGGUGCUAGUUGGUGAUGUGAAUGGUUGAUAUGGGAAAGAGGAUGGAAAUGGCGAAGGCGUCUGGUCUUUGUUGUUGUUCAACAUGGGGAUGGGAUCCAGUCGUUAUCGAGCUGGAUGAUAGGUCACAGUAUACCAGGUGGAGGAUAUAACUUUCUACUACCGUCUACAACCUCCAAUAAGACUGUGGAUCCAGUUUAUGUAGAGAUGAUGUUGAAGAGAAU
RNAcentral lists this small RNA (1560 nucleotides) under Cryptococcus neoformans H99. RNAcentral's name for it is "Cryptococcus neoformans var. grubii H99 hypothetical RNA". Lineage: Eukaryota; Fungi; Basidiomycota; Tremellomycetes; Tremellales; Cryptococcaceae. The record is from RNAcentral.